RNAcentral lists this ribosomal RNA (253 nucleotides) under uncultured bacterium. RNAcentral's name for it is "partial 16S ribosomal RNA". It matches the Rfam family "Bacterial small subunit ribosomal RNA", at positions 524 to 776 of the family's 1533-position model. The record is from RNAcentral.
UACGGGGGGGGCAAGCGUUGUUCGGAAUUACUGGGCGUAAAGCGUGCGCAGGCGGCUCCUUAAGUCAGAUGUGAAAUCCCCGGGCUUAACCUGGGAACUGCGUUUGAAACUGAGGGGCUAGAGUGUGGAAGAGGGGGGUGGAAUUCCAGGUGUAGCAGUGAAAUGCGUAGAGAUCUGGAGGAACACCGAUGGCGAAGGCAGCCCCCUGGGCUAACACUGACGCUCAUGCACGAAAGCGUGGGGAGCGAACAGG